This 253-nucleotide ribosomal RNA is filed under the name uncultured bacterium. RNAcentral's name for it is "partial 16S ribosomal RNA". It matches the Rfam family "Bacterial small subunit ribosomal RNA", at positions 524 to 776 of the family's 1533-position model. The record is from RNAcentral. RNAcentral also lists the same sequence under 1 other name.
UACGAAGGGUGCAAGCGUUAUUCGGAAUCAUUGGGCGUAAAGCGCGCGCAGGCGGAUCAGCAAGUCAGAUGUGAAAUCUCGGAGCUCAACUCCGAAACUGCGUCUGAAACUGCUAGUCUAGAGUGUCGGAGGGGGUAGGGGAAUUUCACGUGUAGGGGUAAAAUCCGUAGAGAUGUGAAGGAACACCGGGGGCGAAGGCGCCUACCUGGACGACUACUGACGCUGAGGCGCGAAAGCGUGGGGAGCAAACAGG